RNAcentral lists this ribosomal RNA (446 nucleotides) under uncultured marine bacterium. RNAcentral's name for it is "bacterial SSU rRNA". It matches the Rfam family "Bacterial small subunit ribosomal RNA", at positions 402 to 866 of the family's 1533-position model. The record is from RNAcentral. RNAcentral also lists the same sequence under 1 other name.
UGAGUGAAGAAGGCCUUAGGGUCGUAAAACUCUUUCGCCAGAGAUGAUAAUGACAGUAUCUGGUAAAGAAACCCCGGCUAAUUCCGUGCCAGCAGCCGCGGUAAUACGGAGGGGGUUAGCGUUGUUCGGAAUUACUGGGCGUAAAGCGCACGUAGGCGGACUGGAAAGUUGGGGGUGAAAUCCCGGGGCUCAACCUCGGAACUGCCUCCAAAACUAUCAGUCUAGAGUUCGAGAGAGGUGAGUGGAAUUCCAAGUGUAGAGGUGAAAUUGGUAGAUAUUUGGAGGAACACCAGUGGCGAAGGCGGCUCACUGGCUCGAUACUGACGUUGAGGUGCGAAAGUGUGGGGAGCAAACAGGAUUAGAUACCCUGGUAGUCCACACCGUAAACGAUGAAUGCCAGUCGUCGGCAAGUAUAUUUGUCGGUGACACACCUAACGGAUUAAGCA